RNAcentral lists this ribosomal RNA (474 nucleotides) under Thalassoma amblycephalum (blunt-headed wrasse). RNAcentral describes it as "partial small subunit ribosomal RNA". It matches the Rfam family "Bacterial small subunit ribosomal RNA", at positions 788 to 1491 of the family's 1533-position model. The record is from RNAcentral. Lineage: Eukaryota; Metazoa; Chordata; Actinopteri; Labriformes; Labridae.
CACUAUGCCUAGCCCUAAACAUUGAUAAUACCCUACCCAGUUUAUCCGCCCGGGAACUACGAGCGUCAGCUUAAAACCCAAAGGACUUGGCGGUGCUUUAGAUCCACCUAGAGGAGCCUGUUCUAGAACCGAUAAUCCCCGUUCAACCUCACCUUUUCUUGCUCAUUCCGCCUAUAUACCACCGUCGUCAGCUUACUCUUUGAGGAACCAGCCGUAAGCGCAACUGGUACAACCUAAAACGCCAGGUCGAGGUGUAGCGAAUGGAAAGGGAAGAAAUGGGCUACAUUCAAUAACAAUAAUGCAUACGAACGAUGUUCUGAAAUAAACAUCUGAAGGAGGAUUUAGUAGUAAGUAGAGAGCAGAGUGCUCUGCUGAAGCCGGCCCUGAAGCGCGUACACACCGCCCGUCACUCUCCCCGAGCUAACCAUACAAAUUUAUAAUAAGCAAAACUUGCAAAGGGGAGGCAAGUCGUAA